GUGAAUCAUCGAAUCUUUGAACGCACCUUGCGCCCUCUGGUAUUCCGGAGGGCAUGCCCGGUUGAGUGUCAUGAAUAUCUCAACCCCAACGCUUUGUUUGAAAGUCCCUUGACGUGCCGGCUGGCCUAGCGAGGCCGCCGUAGCAUUCCUUGCGACUGAAGCGCUGGGGCUUGGACUUGAGCUCUGUUGGCCUUUGUGUCGACUGGCUUGAAAUUGAUCAGCGAUGCGCGAUCCCUUGGGUCCAUCUCGGCGUGAUAAGUUGAUCGUCGCAAAGGACUUCCUUGGGUGUGGCUUGCUUCUAAUUGUCUUAGGACAGCUUUUGACGUUUACACCUCAACUCGGGUAGGACUACCCGCUGAACUUAAGCAUAUCAAUAAGCGAAGGAAAAGA
This 390-nucleotide ribosomal RNA is filed under the name Tulasnellaceae sp. UAMH 7782. RNAcentral describes it as "eukaryotic LSU rRNA". The stretch from base 1 to 71 matches the Rfam family "5.8S ribosomal RNA", at positions 84 to 154 of the family's 154-position model. Lineage: Eukaryota; Fungi; Basidiomycota; Agaricomycetes; Cantharellales; Tulasnellaceae. RNAcentral also lists the same sequence under 1 other name. The record is from RNAcentral.